This 497-nucleotide ribosomal RNA is filed under the name uncultured bacterium. Its description in RNAcentral is "partial 16S ribosomal RNA". It matches the Rfam family "Bacterial small subunit ribosomal RNA", at positions 28 to 507 of the family's 1533-position model. The record is from RNAcentral.
GAUGAACGCUGGCGGCGUGCCUAAUACAUGCAAGUCGAGCGAACGGACGAGAAGCUUGCUUCUCUGAUGUUAGCGGCGGACGGGUGAGUAACACGUGGAUAACCUACCUAUAAGACUGGGAUAACUUCGGGAAACCGGAGCUAAUACCGGAUAAUAUUUUGAACCGCAGGGUUCAAAAGUGAAAGACGGUCUUGCUGUCACUUAUAGCUGGAUCCGCGCUGCAUUGGCUAGUUGGUACGGUAACGGGUUACCAAGGCAACGAUGCAUAGCCGAGCUGAGAGGGUGAUCGGCCACCUUGGAACUGAGACACGGUCCAGACGCCUACGGGAGGCAGCAGUAGGGAAUCUUCGGCAAUGGGCGAAAGCCUGACGGAGCAAGCCCGCGUGAGUGAUGAAGGUCUUCGGAUCGUAAAGCUCUGUUAUGAGGGAAGAACAUAUGUGUAAGUAACUGUGGACAGCUUGACGGUACCUAAUCAGAAAGCCCCGGCUAACUACGUG